AUGGCCCUGUGGGCGGUGGGACUGCCAAUAUACCCACCGUACGCAGGGUUGCGCGCGUACUGGCAGAAGCAUCCCUGCUGCGCCCGCAGGCUCGAGCAGCACGACGCCGACGGCGCCGCCCCGCUGAUGAUCGCCGCCGCGCACACCAUCAGCUGCCCAUCGUUGCAAUGCGCCGUCGACGCCCUGCCCGACCCCGACUUGGCUCUGCCCGACGUCGACAUCACCGCCGCCACCACCGCGGCGACGACCAGCGCGGCCGCCACCACGCACGUCGCCACACGUGCCUUCCCCAUGGCCUUCUGCAUCAUCUGUGCAACCGUGCGUGCGUACAGAGCCAACAAUUAUAUUAACUGGCCCGUCCAACUCAAGUGCGCAGCAUGA
This 381-nucleotide ribosomal RNA is filed under the name Triticum aestivum (bread wheat). RNAcentral describes it as "partial small subunit ribosomal RNA". Lineage: Eukaryota; Viridiplantae; Streptophyta; Magnoliopsida; Poales; Poaceae. The record is from RNAcentral.